GUGCACAUAAAAUAUUCACAAAAUAAAAGUUUAAUAGUAAAUUAAAUCACACAUAUACUUGAUCUGGAUGACAAUUAUUGAGAUCAGGCAUCGAAAAGGUGACACUUGGCUUCAUACAGUUAAUGUUGCACAUACGCAAGGCAAAUGCAAUUUGAUGGGUUGUUAUAGUGCACAUCAGAAAUACAGCAAUAAACAUAAAAUGAUGAUUAGUCACUACAGAGGUUAUAACAGACCAGAGCAAUAUUCAGUUUCAAGAGAAAUAAAAAGGAGAACAAGCCAGACCAUUAAAAAAUGUGUAUGGGUCUUAGGGAUGGGGGACAAGAACAUAUUGUUUUAGUAAAAGCAAAGAAAACAUGAAAUGCUUAAUAAGACAAGUAAACAUGGUAGGCAGUGACAGGAUGUGACAGUUCUGCAGUGGAAAAUGUGCUCUGUGGGUUCACUGGUCACUGCAGACAAAAGCACAAAACUGUAUUUGAAUACGUGACAUGACCUUCCUUUACGUGUUGAAUUUAGAUGACCUGUGCUGGCAUUCACACUUUGAAUAGUUGAUCUUCAUAUUCCUUUUUUAUUUUUUAUUUUUUUAUUUUUUUUUAGGCAGCAUUACUAAAAAAUUUCAGUCUCUACAGCACGUCUGCAAGCCUUCGAGAUCCUGAGCGGAGAGUAAAACAGUUUACACUCCUUCACAGCCCUUAAACUGAGUGUCCUGUUAUGGCCAGUUUUCAGACCAGGAUUCUUCGUCUGCAUCUCUGUGUUGUUAUUAUUCUCCUGACUCAUGCAGAUUAUUCCAAAUCUAAUCAAGAGCAAAGGAUUCGGCAGCACAUCAACAAAACAGUGUUUGUGGGGGAAACAGUUACACUUCACUGCAACAAAACCCAACUUGAUGAUGAUUUCACAUGGAAAAUGAACAACUCGGUUAUUUUUAGGCAUGUCUCUGAUAUUAACAUAACUAAGACAAACUUCAUCUCCAACAGGAUUCACAUCGACCCCGCAGCUCCAAGAGAAUUAACAAUACAUCAAAUACAAGCGUCUGAUGCAGGAAACUACAGCUGCUACCCAGCAGCAAUAAGAUGGACAUUAACAAUAACAGAUAUCCAGAUCAGACCAGAAUCACUCAAACAAAUGUCGCUGAACAUCAUCAUCAUUAUCAUCUCAUGUUCUGGAGUCAUUAUGGUCUGUUUUAUCAUCACCAUCAGCAUCUGCAUUCACAGGAAACAGAAGACACAAGAUCAACUCCGGUUCAGAGGAUUUAAGUCUCUACAGCACGUCUGCAUGAUCUUGAGCAGUUUAAGCUCCUUCACAGCUCUGUUAUGGCGAAUGUUCAAACCAGGAUUCUUCAUCUGGAUCUCUCUAUCAUCAUUAUUUUCCUGAUUCAUGCAGAUUAUUCAAAAUCUAAUCAAGAGCAAAGGAUUCAGCAGCACAUCAACAAAACAGUGUUUGUGGGGGAAACAGUUACACUUCACUGCAACAAAACCCAACUUGAUGAUGAUUUCACAUGGAAAAUGAACAACUCUGUUAUUUUUAGGCAGGUCUCUUAUUUUAACAUAACUAAGACAAACUUCAGCUCAAACAGGAUUCACAUCGACCCCGCAGCUCCAAGAGAAUUAACAAUACAUCAAAUACAAGCGUCUGAUGCAGGAAACUACAGCUGUUACCCAGCAGCAAUAAGAUGGACAUUAACAAUAACAGAAAACACAACCAGACCAGAAUCACUCAAACAAAUGCCGCUGUACAUCAUCUUCUCAUGUUCUGGAGUCAUUAUGAUCUGUCUGAUCAUAACCAUCUGCGUUCACAGUAAACUGAAGCAGAUGAAGACAAACUCUGAUCUCUGUGAAACAGACCAGGAGGCAGAAAGUUUAUUUACCACAGAACAGUUCAGUCUCUACAGCACGUCUGCUAGCCUUCGAGAUCCUGAGCGGAGAGUAAAACAGUUUACACUCCUUCACAGCCCUUAAACUGAGUGUCCUGUUAUGGCCAGUUUUCAGACCAGGAUUCUUCGUCUGCAUCUCUGUGUUGUUAUUAUUCUCCUGACUCAUGCAGAUUAUUCCAAAUCUAAUCAAGAGCAAAGGAUUCGGCAGCACAUCAACAAAACAGUGUUUGUGGGGGAAACAGUUACACUUCACUGCAACAAAACCCAAUUAGAUGAUGAUUUCACAUGGAAAAUGAACAACUUCGUUAUUUUUAGGCACGUCUCUGAAAGAAACAGAACAAUGAAAAACUUCAUCUCCAACAGGAUUCACAUCGACCCCGCAGCGCCAAGAGAAUUAACAAUACAUCAAAUACAAGCGUCUGAUGCAGGAAACUACAGCUGUUACCCAGCAGCAAUAAGAUGGACAUUAACAAUAACAGAUAUCCAGAUCAGACCAGAAUCACUCAAACAAAUGUCGCUGAACAUCAUCAUCAUUAUCAUCUCAUGUUCUGGAGUCAUUAUGAUCUGUUUUAUCAUCACCAUCAGCAUCUGCAUUCACAGGAAACUGAGACAGAAGAUCAGCUCUGGUUCAGAGGAUGUGAAGAUGAUCUCUGACUGUGACAAACACACAGUAACAGCCUGUGUCUACAGUCUUCAUACAGUUUCAUGAACAUCUUUUCUUCUCAAGACAGCAGUGUGUGUCUGACACUCAACAGAUCAUCAUUACAAUACAGGAAGAUGUUUGAGAACGAGACCAUUACAAUAAUAAAUACAGUCUCAGAGGAUCUGUAUGUGAAUGUGUAUUUGCCUCUAAAAUGCUGUUUGCUUAUUUGAUUUAAAAUAUCUACCAAAUAAAUUUCACUUUAAUUUUCAGACAGAGGAAUAUGAGUUAUAAACUUUGAUAUGGCCAACUAUAGAUACAACAUCAUUUACCAUUAUCAAAUAAACAACUGACAGAUUUCAUAGAAAGUCACAAAGUGUAUUAUGGUGACAGACUCUGAUUUUUUAGCUUCAAACAAUGAAUCCAUCCAGUUGGAGGAUAUCAAACAUGACUGAUAUUUUAAACUGAUUUUAGAACCACUUUUUUUUUUUUCAUUAACCACACAUCUCAGCAAGGAGGCAUAUAUUUCUGUGUGACUUUGUCGUGUUCGGAGUGACUUGAAAGUCUGGUUGUGUAUCAUCCAGUUGUUUAGUGUGUUUUUUUCCUGUAACUAUUUACAAAGUCAGCAAAUGUACGAUGGCUAGUAUUUUAAAAUCUGUCCAGAUUUUAGUAAUUGAAUUAAGUCAGCAGCAAUAAAAUAAAAAUACUAAAAAGUAAAAAAGUUUCCGGUCUGUCAGUGUGAGAUUUCCUUCUAUCACAGAGUAUCCUGUCAGAAACAUACAGUGUAAACCAGAUGACACAGC
Molecule: long non-coding RNA, 3310 nt
Organism: Cyprinus carpio carpio
Lineage: Eukaryota; Metazoa; Chordata; Actinopteri; Cypriniformes; Cyprinidae
Source: Ensembl